AUCAUAUACACCACGUAAAAACUCUACUUAAUACUAAGGCCACUAUUUAAAAAACAAUUGACUCAAACUAAAACGCAAAAUACUAACACGGCUGAUUUUUUAGGACCAAAGCAAGCAUUGCCCACCCAUCACAAUCGAAACACAAACUGAAUUCAACUGCAAGUAAAAGAUACUAGAAACCAGAAGUAAAUGAAAGGAAAAGCCAUGUCGCCUGGGUAAACCAUGCAUACGG
Molecule: long non-coding RNA, 232 nt
Filed under: Linum usitatissimum (flax)
Lineage: Eukaryota; Viridiplantae; Streptophyta; Magnoliopsida; Malpighiales; Linaceae
Description: long non-coding RNA (LUSI_LNC002594)
Source: RNAcentral